AUUGAACGCUGGCGGCAGGCUUAACACAUGCAAGUCGGGCGGGGGAAGGUAGCUUGCUACUGGACCUAGCGGCGGACGGGUGAGUAAUGCUUAGGAAUCUGCCUAUUAGUGGGGGACAACAUCUCGAAAGGGAUGCUAAUACCGCAUACGUCCUACGGGAGAAAGCAGGGGAUCUUCGGACCUUGCGCUAAUAGAUGAGCCUAAGUCGGAUUAGCUAGUUGGUGGGGUAAAGGCCUACCAAGGCGACGAUCUGUAGCGGGUCUGAGAGGAUGAUCCGCCACACUGGGACUGAGACACGGCCCAGACUCCUACGGGAGGCAGCAGAGGGGAAUAUUGGACAAUGGGGGGAACCCUGAUCCAGCCAUGCCGCGUGUGUGAAGAAGGCCUUAUGGUUGUAAAGCACUUUAAGCGAGGAGGAGGCUACUUUAGUUAAUACCUAGAGAUAGUGGACGUUACUCGCAGAAUAAGCACCGGCUAACUCUGUGCCAGCAGCCGCGGUAA
This 501-nucleotide ribosomal RNA is filed under the name uncultured bacterium. RNAcentral describes it as "partial 16S ribosomal RNA". It matches the Rfam family "Bacterial small subunit ribosomal RNA", at positions 30 to 523 of the family's 1533-position model. The record is from RNAcentral.